RNAcentral lists this ribosomal RNA (303 nucleotides) under uncultured bacterium. RNAcentral describes it as "partial 16S ribosomal RNA". It matches the Rfam family "Bacterial small subunit ribosomal RNA", at positions 507 to 809 of the family's 1533-position model. The record is from RNAcentral.
AGCAGUAGCCGCGGUAAUACGGAGGGCGCGAGCGUUACCCGGAUUUACUGGGCGUAAAGGGCGUGUAGGCGGCCUGGGGCGUCCCAUGUGAAAGGCCACGGCUCAACCGUGGAGGAGCGUGGGAUACGCUCAGGCUAGAGGGUGGGAGAGGGUGGUGGAAUUCCCGGAGUAGCGGUGAAAUGCGCAGAUACCGGGAGGAACGCCGAUGGCGAAGGCAGCCACCUGGUCCACUUCUGACGCUGAGGCGCGAAAGCGUGGGGAGCAAACCGGAUUAGAUACGCGUAGUCCCUGUCUCUUAUACAC